RNAcentral lists this ribosomal RNA (253 nucleotides) under uncultured bacterium. RNAcentral describes it as "partial 16S ribosomal RNA". It matches the Rfam family "Bacterial small subunit ribosomal RNA", at positions 524 to 776 of the family's 1533-position model. The record is from RNAcentral.
UACGGGGGGGGCAAGCGUUGUUCGGAAUUACUGGGCGUAAAGGGCUCGUAGGUGGCCAACUAAGUCAGACGUGAAAUCCCUCGGCUUAACCGGGGAACUGCGUCUGAUACUGGGAGGCUUGAGUGCGGGAGAGGGAUGUGGAAUUCCAGGUGUAGCGGUGAAAUGCGUAGAUAUCUGGAGGAACACCGGUGGCGAAGGCGAGCUACUGGACAACAUCUGACGCUGAGGCUCGAAGGCUAGGGGAGCAAAAGGG